UACGUAGGUGGCAAGCGUUGUCCGGAUUUACUGGGCGUAAAGAGCGCGCAGGCGGUCGUACAAGUCGCGUGUGAAAGCCCCCGGCUCAACUGGGGAGGGUCACGCGAUACUGUUCGACUCGAAGGCAGGAGAGGGAAGCAGAAUUCCCGGUGUAGUGGUGAAAUGCGUAGAUAUCGGGAGGAACACCAGUGGCGAAGGCGACUACCUGGCCUGUUCUUGACGCUGAGGCGCGAAAGCUAGGGGAGCAAACGGG
Molecule: ribosomal RNA, 253 nt
Filed under: uncultured bacterium
Lineage: Bacteria
Description: partial 16S ribosomal RNA
Rfam family: Bacterial small subunit ribosomal RNA
Source: RNAcentral